RNAcentral lists this non-coding RNA (347 nucleotides) under Drosophila willistoni. RNAcentral's name for it is "Eukaryotic large subunit ribosomal RNA". It matches the Rfam family "Eukaryotic large subunit ribosomal RNA", at positions 2425 to 2620 of the family's 3401-position model. Lineage: Eukaryota; Metazoa; Arthropoda; Insecta; Diptera; Drosophilidae. The record is from Rfam by way of RNAcentral.
ACUCUAAUCUGGCAGUGUAAGGAGACAUAAGAUGUGUAGAAUAAGUGGGAGAUAUUAUUCCUUGUGUUUGAUAUCGCCAAUGAAAUACCACUACUCUUAUUGUUUGCUUACUUACUUGAUUAAAUGGAACGUGUAUCAUUUCCUAGCCAUUAUACGGAUAUAUUUAUUAUAUCGUAUGGUAUUGAGUUUUGAUGCAAGCUUCUUGAUCAAAGUAUCACGAGUUUGUUAUAUAAUCGCAAACAAAUUCUUUAAUGGGAGAGUGCAUUUAUGUAUUUUUAAUUUGAAUAUUUGGUAUAACUCCAAUUACUCACGUAUGAUCCAAUUCAAGGACAUUGCCAGGUAGGAGU